AUGAGGAAUAAAGCUUGCCCAGAGAAGAGGCUUGCCAAACCAUGUGGUCGUGUCCACCCGGAGGAUGCAGCUUUCUCCACUGUGUACAAGGGCGUUAUAUGGACUAGCUGUCGCCCUAGAUGUUUUUUUAAAUUGUUCACAUCAUCUCACAUAAUAUUUUCACAGUUUGGGCUUUUCAAAAUUGAACUUCCUAAGUACUUAACUACUCAAAUUCUUUUAAUCCAAUAUUUAUAUGAAUACCCAAAAUAAUCAAGAAAUGAAAUCAAACAAGUAUGCUAAACAAAAGCCAUUUGAGUUUCACAAUAAAUAGUCAUUUUAUGUGCGGCAAAUAAACCCAGGGAAUUACUAGUGUUGGUAUCUUUUGAGAACAUUUUUUUCCUUUGUGACUUUGGUUUAUGCAAAUAACUAUAUCUUAUGAGCUCAUAUCCUGAAGCUACAACUUGAUGCCUGAGGAUUGAUUCUUGUAUUCCCUUUAAUCUUCCUCCAGUCUGACCUGGUACUUACAUAGUUUAAUCCUUGCAUUAAUAUUUUAAUAUAGAUUUGAUUUGGAUUGAAAUGAGCAAGAAGAUUCACUGGAAUCUAUCUAAAGAGAUUACUUGUGUGAUUUCAUUUUGCUACAUUAGUAGUCUGUGAUAGAUAUACUCUAUUUGCAGAGUACAUCUACCUUCAAAUCAAGUGUCUUGCCAAAAGGCAAUAUGACAGCUAAGCUUGAAGUUCAUAAAAAACAGCUAUUUGGUUCAGGAAAAAAAUAAAACAACUCACAACUUUUCACUAAAACCAAGCCUGCUCUUCUUUUCCAGAUGGAUUAUAUUGGAUAAAUGUGUUUAUCCCUAUUUUCAAUACUUAAACACACAGACACACACAGAUAAUUUGUAUCUUGAGACCAAUUUCUUUUAUCCGUCCAAUGAAAAAAUUGGACUAGAUACUGUUGUUUUUAAAAAAUAAAAAUAGUUUUCUUUUCCUUUUAUUAAUAAUUCAUGGUUAUGACAGAAAAGAAAGAGAUUUAAAAUAAGUGAAGGUCAUUCUAGAUUUACC
This 1035-nucleotide long non-coding RNA is filed under the name Papio anubis (olive baboon). RNAcentral describes it as "lncRNA (ENSPANG00000050166.1)". Lineage: Eukaryota; Metazoa; Chordata; Mammalia; Primates; Cercopithecidae. The record is from RNAcentral.